This 437-nucleotide ribosomal RNA is filed under the name uncultured bacterium. RNAcentral's name for it is "partial 16S ribosomal RNA". It matches the Rfam family "Bacterial small subunit ribosomal RNA", at positions 29 to 507 of the family's 1533-position model. The record is from RNAcentral.
AGCGAACGCUGGCGGCAGGCUUAACACAUGCAAGUCGAGCGGGCAUCCUUGUGGUGUCAGCGGCAGACGGGUGAGUAACGCGUGGGAACGUGCCCUUCGGUUCGGAAUAACUCAGGGAAACUUGAGCUAAUACCGGAUACGUGCGAGAGCAGAAAGGUUUAUCUGCCGAAGGAUCGGCCCGCGUCUGAUUAGCUAGUUGGUGAGGUUACGGCUCACCAAGGCGACGAUCAGUAGCUGGUCUGAGAGGAUGAUCAGCCACACUGGGACUGAGACACGGCCCAGACUCCUACGGGAGGCAGCAGUGUGGAAUAUUGGACAAUGGGGGCAACCCUGAUCCAGCCAUGCCGCGUGAGUGAUGACGGCCUUAGGGUUGUAAAGCUCUUUUCUCCGGGACGAUAAUGACGGUACCGGAGGAAUAAGCCCCGGCUAACUUCGUG